Molecule: ribosomal RNA, 492 nt
Filed under: uncultured bacterium
Lineage: Bacteria
Description: partial 16S ribosomal RNA
Rfam family: Bacterial small subunit ribosomal RNA
Source: RNAcentral
AGUGAACGCUGGCGGUAGGCCUAACACUUGCAAGUCGAACGGCAGCACAGUAAGAGCUUGCUCUUACGGGUGGCGAGUGGCGGACGGGUGAGGAAUACAUCGGAAUCUACUUUUUCGUGGGGGAUAACGUAGGGAAACUUACGCUAAUACCGCAUACGACCUACGGGUGAAAGCAGGGGAUCUUCGGACCUUGCGCGAUUGAAUGAGCCGAUGUCGGAUUAGCUAGCUGGCGGGGUAAAGGCCCACCAAGGCGACGAUCCGUAGCUGGUCUGAGAGGAUGAUCAGCCACACUGGAACUGAGACACGGUCCAGACUCCUACGGGAGGCAGCAGUGGGGAAUAUUGGACAAUGGGCGCAAGCCUGAUCCAGCCAUACCGCGUGGGUGAAGAAGGCCUUCGGGUUGUAAAGCCCUUUUGUUGGGAAAGAAAAGCAGCAGGUUAAUACCCCGCUGUUCUGACGGUACCCAAAGAAUAAGCACCGGCUAACUUCGUG